UACGUAGGGGGCGAGCGUUGUCCGGAAUCAUUGGGCGUAAAGCGCGUGUAGGCGGCUCGAUAAGUCCGGUGUGAAACCUUGGGGCUCAACCCCAAGCCUGCACUGGAUACUGCCGAGCUAGAGUCCGGGAGGGGAGAGCGGAAUUCCUAGUGUAGCGGUGAAAUGCGCAGAUAUUAGGAAGAACACCGGUGGCGAAGGCGGCUCUCUGGAACGGUACUGACGCUGAGACGCAAAAGCGUGGGGAGCGAACAGG
Molecule: ribosomal RNA, 253 nt
Filed under: uncultured bacterium
Lineage: Bacteria
Description: partial 16S ribosomal RNA
Rfam family: Bacterial small subunit ribosomal RNA
Source: RNAcentral